CUUUAAAAAAAAUAAGUUGAAUUUUUAAGAAACGAAAAGAACAACAUACACGGUAUGUGGUGAAGCUGGUACCUGGCUCGCCUAGUAUCUGUGAAACCCGGAGCCUUCACUCUCCAGCACUAUGGGGUAAACCAAACCCAACCGACCAAAAACUCGAAGCAUACAGAACAUAACUACUGACCAGGACGGUGUGGAUGGUGCUGUGAGAUAGAAUCCACAGACAUAACCAAGUUCAAACACAGGAGGACAAGGUCACAGACAUCUGCAAAGAGGAGGUUUGGUUUGUUAGGCCUUGCCUGAAUGGUGAGUCGGUUGUUCAUUUAGUUGUGAUGGGGAAAAGGAGGGGAACACGUAGGAGAGAAUCCCAAUGGUGAGCAAAUGAGAAGUCUCAUUUAGAUGCCAGGGACCUGGUAACUAAUACAGUACAGGCAGGAAGAGAUCCAAGCAGAUCCGAGAACAGGAUUCCAGAUUCUUUCUCCAUCAUCACUGCAAGGAUCUGGAUUUAGCUGGUCCAAGUUGCAGAUGCCUGUCAACCAGUCUCUGAUUCUGGCUUCCCUCCCUCUGGAAUGGAGUUGACAGUGCUUGCUACGGUGUAUUCAUGGAACUUGCUGGCCCUCCCCUUACUCUCCAACCUUUCAAGGGGUUGCUUUUCACUAAUUCACAGAGUAUUUGUUGGGGUCUACACCAAAGCAUGAGUCCCUGGUCUGUCUCCACCUGUGGUAAGUACUGAGAACCAAAGCAAAGCAAGGUAACGGGGCACAACAGGAGUGUGGCUUGGGACGGGGAAGGGGUGGGGGUUGGAGACAAGAUUGAGUGGAUGUCUUUCCUUCAAACAGGACAUCUGAGAAUCGACAUGAUGCGGGGAGAGCUUUUGAAAGCCAAGGGAAGAAUGAGGACAGGAAAGGGAGUUUGUGUUUAAAGACUGGAGAGGUGGCCAGUGAAACAGGAACCCAUCAGGCAAAAGGAGGAAAAUGAAAAACAUUGAGACCCCAGGAGCCAAGAAGGACAAUGGAAAAGCCAUUUGGAACCUGAAGAAAAGCAAGAACAGCCUAUAAAGGAGAUAGCCUAAAAGGAGGAUAUGAAGACUUCCAUUUGUACUACCAUAGCAGCUUCAGCUUUUAAAAGUGCCUCUCAAGUCUCUCCAUGACUCUCUUUCCCACGGCUGGUCAGGCCCUAUCCACAUCUCUCUUUGCGUCAUCCGUAUGGGUAUGUUCAUGUAGUGCGGUGCCGAGGGGCAGGGAUGCACAAUCAGACUCUUAGAACUUAAAUCUUAGUUUCAUGACUCAAUGCAUCUUCUGGCCUGGGAAGAUUAUUUAACUUUCCUGCCUCACUUUUCUCAUCUGCAAAAGAGAACCAGUAAUUGUCCUUGCUUGCUGUGGGUGUCCUGGAGAUUAUGUAAGGUAAUGUGUGUGAAGCAAACAGUAAUUAUUGGAGUUAUUUUUAUUACCGUCACCCUCUUCAUCCUCCAUCGUGAGGACAUACGCUUCCCAAGGGAGAGGGCGAUUUUAUUCAUCUUGCGGGCCUCGUGAGCCCUUGCAUAAAGUAGGUAUCUAAUAAGUGUGUCAAGGAAUAAGAAUCCAAAUGUGUGAAUUCUCAGUGCACUGCACAUGGCCAGGGGACUUCUUGGCAAAUCAUCUAUUCUUGAAAAGCUGGGGACUCGGCACGCACUCUUUGAAGGCAUUGUCAAGUGUCAGGUAGGUGUUUUGAAUGGUCCACUACCCUAAAAAUAAACCCACAGUGUAGCUUUCAAAAGCAUAUUCUACACACCCAAAUGCCACUCUUUUUUUUUGAUCAUGGCACUCGCUAGAUUGGAUCACACUGUUCUAAGAUCUUCCCAGGGAGCCUGCGUUUAUGAGGCUGGCAGGGGACCUGGAUGCAUGAGGAGAUUCACAGCUGUGGAAGUCAGAUGAUUGAAAUUCUGAACCGGCGAGAAAUCCAUCAUUCCAGGUCCUUCUGUAUCACAUUCUGGUGAAGGGAAGGAAGGGGCGACCCCAGGAUACACACAGGCGCCACACAGGGGAAUCAUCAGGAGUCGUCUUGCCACUAAUCACUCUUGGGGCCCUUUGGGUUGGGUUGUCUUGGCCAGCCUGCAUGUGAUGGGUUUUGUUUAUCUUACUAUAUUGUAUUUUGUCAAUACAAAAAUAAGGUAGAACAGAAAAAGUCACUGUUAGUGAAUUUUGAGUUGAUUAGCGAUGUGCACUAAAAGUAUUUUGAAAAUUAUAAGGUGAUCACAAUGGGAAAUGAAACUAACAUUUUAAAAAAAGGGCUUGAUGGUUGAUUGCAUUAUG
This 2288-nucleotide small RNA is filed under the name Rattus norvegicus (Norway rat). Its description in RNAcentral is "uncharacterized LOC102550659". The record is from RNAcentral. Lineage: Eukaryota; Metazoa; Chordata; Mammalia; Rodentia; Muridae.